CCUACGGGAGGCAGCAGUGAGGAAUAUUGGUCAAUGGACGCAAGUCUGAACCAGCCAUGCCGCGUGCAGGAAGACGGCCCUAUGAGUUGUAAACUGCUUUUGUACGAGGGUAAAUCUCGAUACGUGUAUCGUGUUGAAAGUACCGUACGAAUAAGGAUCGGCUAACUCCGUGCCAGCAGCCGCGGUAAUACGGAGGAUUCAAGCGUUAUCCGGAUUUAUUGGGUUUAAAGGGUGCGUAGGCGGUUCGAUAAGUUAGGGGUGAAAUCCCGGGGCUCAACUCCGGCACUGCCUUUGAUACUGUCGGGCUAGAGUUUAGUUGCGGUAGGCGGAAUGUAUGGUGUAGCGGUGAAAUGCAUAGAGAUCAUACAGAACACCGAUUGCGAAGGCAGCUUACCAAACUACGACUGACGUUGAGGCACGAAAGCGUGGGGAGCAAACAGGAUUAGAUACCCUUGUAGUC
RNAcentral lists this ribosomal RNA (460 nucleotides) under uncultured bacterium. Its description in RNAcentral is "partial 16S ribosomal RNA". It matches the Rfam family "Bacterial small subunit ribosomal RNA", at positions 338 to 795 of the family's 1533-position model. The record is from RNAcentral.